RNAcentral lists this ribosomal RNA (457 nucleotides) under uncultured bacterium. RNAcentral describes it as "partial 16S ribosomal RNA". It matches the Rfam family "Bacterial small subunit ribosomal RNA", at positions 338 to 795 of the family's 1533-position model. The record is from RNAcentral.
CCUACGGGAGGCUGCAGUGGGGAAUAUUGCACAAUGGGGGAAACCCUGAUGCAGCGACGCCGCGUGAGUGAAGAAGUAUUUCGGUAUGUAAAGCUCUAUCAGCAGGGAAGAAAUAGCGACCUUUGGGUCGCCAGACGGUACCUGAUUAAGAAGCCCCGGCUAACUACGUGCCAGCAGCCGCGGUAAUACGUAGGGGGCGAGCGUUAUCCGGAUUUAUUGGGUUUAAAGGGUGCGCAGGCGGAAUGUCAAGUCAGCGGUAAAAUUUCGGGGCUCAACCCCGUCGUGCCGUUGAAACUGGCGUUCUUGAGUGAGCGAGAAGUAUGCGGAAUGCGUGGUGUAGCGGUGAAAUGCAUAGAUAUCACGCAGAACUCCGAUUGCGAAGGCAGCAUACCGGCGCUCAACUGACGCUCAUGCACGAAAGCGUGGGUAUCGAACAGGAUUAGAUACCCCUGUAGUC